GAUGAAGAACGUAGCGAAAUGCGAUAAGUAAUGUGAAUUGCAGAAUUCAGUGAAUCAUCGAAUCUUUGAACGCACAUUGCGCCCGCCAGUAUUCUGGCGGGCAUGCCUGUUCGAGCGUCAUUACAACCCUCAGGCCCCCGGGCCUGGCGUUGGGGAUCGGCGGAGCCCCCCGUGGGCACACGCCGUCCCCCAAAUACAGUGGCGGUCCCGCCGCAGCUUCCAUCGCGUAGUAGCUAACACCUCGCGACUGGAGAGCGGCGCGGCCACGCCGUAAAACACCCAACUCUUCUGAAGUUGACCUCGAAUCAGGUAGGAAUACCCGCUGAACUUAAGCAUAUCAAUGAGCGGAGGA
Molecule: unclassified non-coding RNA, 352 nt
Filed under: soil metagenome
Description: partial contains 5.8S ribosomal RNA, internal transcribed spacer 2, and large subunit ribosomal RNA
Rfam family: 5.8S ribosomal RNA (bases 1-120)
Source: RNAcentral